UGCUGGGGGUGCUCAGACAUGCAGUCGAACGCGAAAGUCCCCUUCGGGGGAUAAGUAGAGUGGCGCACGGGUGAGUAACACGUAGGUAAUCUACCUUCGGGUGGGGAAUAACCCAGGAAACUUGGGCUAACACCGCAUAAUGCAGCGGCACCACAUGGUGACAGUUGUUAAAGCGGGGGAUCUUAGGACCUCGCGCCUGAAGAGGAGCCUGCGGCGGAUUAGCUAGUUGGUGAGGUAACGGCUCACCAAGGUAACGAUCCGUAGCCGGCCUGAGAGGGCGGUCGGCCACACUGACACUGACAUACGGGUCAGACUCCUACGGGAGGCAGCAGUCGGGAAUUUUGGGCAAUGGGCGAAAGCCUGACCCAGCAACGCCGCGUGAAGGAUGAAAUCCCUCGGGAUGUAAACUUCGCAAGAAUGGGAAGAAUUAGUAGGGGUUAAUACCCCCUAUGAUGACGGUACCAUUUGUAAGCUCCGGCUAACUCCGUGCCAGCAGCCGCGGUAAUACGGGGGGAGCAAGCGUUGUUCGGAAUUACUGGGCGUAAAGCGCGUGUAGGCGGGUCGUUAAGUCGGGGGUGAAAUCCCAGAGCUCAACUCUGGAACUGGCUUCGAUACUGGCGACCUGGACCCAAGUAGAGGCGAGUGGGAUUACGAGUGUAGAGGUGAAAUUCGUAGAUUUCGUAGGAACACCAGUU
RNAcentral lists this ribosomal RNA (695 nucleotides) under uncultured bacterium. Its description in RNAcentral is "bacterial SSU rRNA". It matches the Rfam family "Bacterial small subunit ribosomal RNA", at positions 34 to 714 of the family's 1533-position model. The record is from RNAcentral.